UGGGCCCUUAGCUCAAUCGGCAGAGCAGCGGACUCAUAAUCCGUCGGUUCCAGGUUCGAGUCCUGGAGGGCCCAG
Molecule: transfer RNA, 75 nt
Filed under: bacterium HR10
Lineage: Bacteria
Description: tRNA-Met
Rfam family: tRNA
About the family: Transfer RNA (tRNA) molecules are approximately 80 nucleotides in length. Their secondary structure includes four short double-helical elements and three loops (D, anti-codon, and T loops).
Source: RNAcentral